Meriones unguiculatus (Mongolian gerbil) is the source of this 4736-nucleotide long non-coding RNA. RefSeq lists it as uncharacterized. The record is from RefSeq and is a predicted model, not a curated record. NCBI's taxonomy places the organism in Eukaryota, Metazoa, Chordata, Mammalia, Rodentia, Muridae. The transcript is spliced from 3 exons.
GGAACAGGAAAUGCUCCCGGGACAAAUGCUGAAGCUGCCGGCUGCUCUCUGUGUGAUCUCCCAGGAUCUCAGCAGUGAGCUCAGCUGGGAUCCAUACAGUCGGAUCAGUUUGCGUUUGCACGCUUGGGGGAUCCAGGAAGCCCGAGAGUUGCUGUGGUCAUGGUGUCUCUUCACGAAAUGGAACACUGACUAAGACAGUGGGUAAGACCUAGACCCUUCCCCAAACCUUAGAGCUCUAAGAAAGACAAACCUGCAGAUCAUCAACUUCCAGACACACCAGCGGCUGCCACUGCAAUGUAGAGGUCGGUCUCAGCCAGGCACUGGGCUACUCAGGUGUAGUGGAAGGGGAGAAGAUCAUAGGAGCAUCACUCAGUGGAUGGAUGCUGGAACCUCGGGAUGUGUGAGCUCUCAAAGGAAGCAGCUGCAUAAAAGGCAAGCUUAAGUGCAGAUUCUCUCUCUAAUUCCUUUUCUUCCUGCAUGCUAGCUCUCUUCCAAGUGUAUUCUUACCAUUGCAUUGUCCACCAUGUUGAGAUGCACCAAUGCACCAGACCUCACCGGAGUCCUGCCAAUGCCCUUUAAUAGCAUUCAGCAGCUCUGGGUGCCCACUGCCCCACCCUCUGCUUGAGACUGUGAUCACAGUGCAGCAGGACUGUGCUCCAGGGCCUACUCCCACAAUCUCAGCUUCAACACUUGCUAAGAGGAGAAUUACCUCUCCUCUGCGCCCUCCGUCUAUUGCCAUGGCCUUUCCACGUCACUGAGAAGGCCUUGAUGGUGUCUCUGUCCUGCUUCUAAGAUGGGAAUAAUGGUUUCAGUAAGUCCUUCUGGUCUACCUCAACUAGCCAGCAUAAAAGAUGUCCACGGGAGUGAAGUGUCUUGUCUGGAAUCUGAGGAAAAUUCAGAUUCUCAGAAUCCGUUGUGUGCAGGCACCAGAGCAUCCAAAGUGAUGGUAGAAAACAUUCCUCCCAGAUACAGAGACAAGGAACUUCCUCAUCAGUCCACACAGGCUCUCUGGCCUGUGCUAGGCUGGUGCCAUGGCUGGUGCUGAGGUGGCUCGGUACAGACCAGACAGGCUGAGAAGCUUCUAGAAACCUAAAGGUGAAGGGAAGGAGGAAAGAUGGGGAGAGACAGAGAGGCAGCCAGCUUGGGGAGCCUCCUCUCCUAACUCCCCCCCACCACAACACUGGGCUGUUAUCCCACUUGGGGGUCCUGGAGAUGGACCUGGGACCACAUCAUAAAUAUAUCUUCUUAGUUGAGACACUUCAAGGUGCUUUUCUCUCUUGUCCUGGAAACUGUCCAGAAGACCUGACUCUUGUGCUCUUCUGGGCUCAUCUCCUUGAACCUCUGAUCCAGUGCUCUCAAGGGAGUCUGUCUACACCUGCCCAACUUGCUCUUCUCCCUGUACCUCUCUUCCAGACUGAGGUAGGCCAGGCCUCUUCUCUGUAGUCCUAUAGUUCUCAGUCACAGUUCUGACCGCAUUGACUCUGACCUGUGGUUUUUGUUUUGUUUUGUUUUUUGGGUUGUUUUUUUUUUUUUUUUUUUUUUUUUUUUUGCCUGAAAACACUACAUCUCAGGACCCUUUUGAGUCAAAUAGACCUCUGCAUCCUGCCUUGACCUUGAUCUUCAAGGUUUGCUGGGAACUCCGGUGAAAGGAAAGCCAGGUGAAAUACAUACCUCCUUGGGAAGCACACAUGCAUACUUACUUCUCAAAGACUAUGAGCAAGGCCACUGUCUUCACACUAUUUCAGAUUGUCACCCCUUCUGAAAAAGCACCUCAGCCCCACAAAGACAGACCUGGCAUCCCAGCUCCAGCCUGCUCCAAAGCAAGGCCAGAGUUCUUGAAAACUAUGGAGGCGGUGGUGCUGGGCCCCAGCCACUUUGGAUCACAGUAACAAGCGCAGGGGAUUCCAGUGUGGAGAGAAGCCAGGCAGCUCAAAAUCGGAACACCUGCACAAGAAGUGAGGGACCCACGGGGCUUUGACUUGGAAACUCUCGGUUCUCUGGGUACUGGUAUUCACACGAGUUUACCUUGAUGGGAAAUUGUGUGCCUGUGUAGCUGACGCUGCCCUGUGUGGGCAUAGGAGCCCUAUGCACCCUGAGAAGGUGCAGGUUCCUGGGCAUCGGAUGGGACUCCUGCUGUGGCCCUUGGGCAGAACCUGGAGGCCCAGCAUUGAGCACAUUUACAAAGUCCAGGCCUGCUAGAUUAAUGAGUGUGAACUCUCCUGUAUGCUCUGCAUUGCCUGGCACCUCCAGUCCACAGAAGGUCCCCAGCAUUCCAGCCUGUUGAAGGCAGCCUUUCUAUUUACAGUCAAGGAACAAAUGUAUGCAUAUGUAUUUGCAUUUCUUUGAUCAUCUAUCUGGGAAGGCAGGGAGGGGGUUAAAGCUCAAGGAGUCGCACUCCACCUUGCAUGCAAAGCCUGUGCCCAUAUCCUUUAAGCCCUAAUUAAAGCAUGACCAGAUCAGCCAAAUUCAGAGCCUGAAGUUACAUUCCCUCGUAAGACAGCCAAUGCAGCUCACGGAUGAUAAAUGAUUUCAUCAGCGUACCGCAUUACAUGGGAAGAAUGCAUGAGGUGAGAAGGCUUUUAAUGUGCUGCCGAAGGAGGAGGCAGGAAGCCUGCAGGGAGUCUGGGCUCCAAGUUUCAAUCCAUUUCUAAUUAUGCUAAAAACGAGACUCGGGCACUGAAUGGUCAACCCUUCCUCCACGUUAAUUUAGGUUUAUCGCCAUCCUUGCUUCCUGAUCUGUCUAUCGCGGAGAUGCAGGCUGGGCUGCAGAUCCUCAGCGACAGCGAUGCGCUCAGUACUACUAGAUAACUCGCUCAUGGGUCUGAGCGGCGCUAAGCCAGUUUUUCUGUCUUGUGGAAUUACUAACUGUGAGGACAUAUUUUCUGUAACUUCCUAAAUCCUGCCUGCAGGGAUUCUAAUCCCAGUUUUCCCCAAAUCGAGCUGUGUGACUUUGUUAGUUAAGCUCCUUACAUCCCUGCAGUUCACCCUCCUCGUCUGUAAGAUGGGGAUAAAAAUGGUAUUUAUACUAAGGUCAUCUGUGGAAUUAAAUCGGACAUGGAAGCCCUUCGUGGUGUCCCUGGCUUCUGGGAUACCCGCUGUAAGCUUGAGCCAGCAGCAGAUCUCGUUGCCCUUAUCGAGGCUUGAAUCUUCCAGGGUAGAGGGCUAAGGGUGAGGCUUGGUGCAAAUGCAAAAGUGUGAAGUCUUCAGUGUACCUGCCCCUCCUCACCAUGAGACUCUACCUUAAAGCAUUGCGGUGACUAGAUUCACAAGGAGAAGACCACAGGGACCUGAGAUAAAGAGGAAGAGAAGGAGAAGGGAAGAUGAUAUUUGGGUGUGCUCUUCAGAUGUCCACUCUUUCAACUCGUUUCUGAUGCUGUGAUAAAAUGCCCGGAAGUGGGGCAGGAGCCGCCACACCCCUCUACUGAACCCUCCCAGCGCUGACGGUCCUUGACUCCAUGCUGCACCGUAUUGGCAUCCACCGAGUGCAGAUGAGGGCAGCCGAGACGGCGGAUUGCCCAACAAUUAAGGGUUUGGUCAUUCUGGCUCCAUGGCGCCUGCUUCCCUGGAAGUUUCUGUGAUGGAUUAAGUGUUUACAGCUCCCCACUGCCUCCCCGAACUCUUCUUCCUUCAAGCCUGCUGUUAAGCUGUCAAUAUAAACAAUGACUCUGCCAUGAGUUGCCCUCAGUGUCCAUCAGACUCAGAACAGCAGACAACUAUUGUCACAGUUGGCUAAACUCCCAUCUGAGGGCAGUGGGGUUUGUUUUAUGUUUUUUGUUUUUUGUUUGUUUUGUUUUGUUUUCCUCUGUGUGGUCCUCAUCUGGCUGGAAACAACUUUCCAAAAAGCAAUUAACUUUCCAUUUGAAAUGAAGUAAGCCAAGCUUUUCUCCUUUCUCCUUCUGAAGAUGCUUUCAGGCUGUCCACUGCCUCUUCAAACUGAUGCAAGAUGAGGGAGAUUUCUAGAAGAUUCCACAAUUUACGACAUCACCCUAGAUCCAUUCCUACAGACCCCAGGAAUUUCCUCAGAAGUGGUGGGAAGAUUUUCCGACAUCUGGACCCCAGCCAUCAUUCUCACUGUCAUGUCUACUCUGCCUUCAUUCAUGCCACUCCUCCUCAGAGCUCUCUUGGCUUUUGCCCGGCCCCAGCCACAAACCAUAACCACAUAUCACUGCAUGCACAGGCCAGCUUCCCUGGAAUGCUUGCCAGGAAUCACUGUUGGAGACCACACAAAGCAAAUAGCAGGCUAAAGGGUGGAGGAGAAAAAUGGCUGUCCCCUUAUAUCCAGCCUGCCACCUGUGCAGUUCCCAAAGCUCACCCCACUGUGUUCCCUGAAGGACUCCUUACUCUAGCUUGGGGGUUCUCAACCUGUGGAUUGCCAUCCUCUGGGGCCUACAACCAUUGGAAAAACACAAAUAAUUACAAUUCAACACAAAUAAUUAUAAUUCAUAACAGUAGCAAAAUCACAGUUAUGAGGUAGCAAUGAAAAUAAUUUUAUGUUGGGGGUCAUUACAACAUGAGGAACUGUAUUAAGGGGUCAGAGCAUUAGGAAGGUCUAGCUAAUGAACAUUAGCUUUGUGACCGGUACCAAUUUAGUUUUGUUAUGCAGAAAAUACACUCCAAAUUUCCAAGACAACACACAUACACACACACACACACUCACACACACACAAAGAAUGGAAGCUAUUCCACUAGUGAUUCUGUUGUGGGGCACAUGGGGGGUAAUCAUAAUAUUUUGAAUA